RNAcentral lists this ribosomal RNA (503 nucleotides) under uncultured bacterium. RNAcentral describes it as "partial 16S ribosomal RNA". It matches the Rfam family "Bacterial small subunit ribosomal RNA", at positions 30 to 523 of the family's 1533-position model. The record is from RNAcentral.
AUUGAACGCUGGCGGCAGGCUUAACACAUGCAAGUCGAGCGGGGUGAUGGUGCUUGCACUAUCACUUAGCGGCGGACGGGUGAGUAAUGCUUAGGAAUCUGCCAAUUAGUGGGGGACAACAUCUCGAAAGGGAUGCUAAUACCGCAUACGUCCUACGGGAGAAAGCAGGGGAUCACUUGUGACCUUGCGCUAAUAGAUGAGCCUAAGUCGGAUUAGCUAGUUGGUGGGGUAAAGGCCUACCAAGGCGACGAUCUGUAGCGGGUCUGAGAGGAUGAUCCGCCACCCUGGGACUGAGACACGGCCCAGACUCCUCCGGGAGGCAGCAGUGGGGAAUAUUGGACAAUGGGAGGAACCCUGAUCCAGCCAUGCCGCGUGUGUGAAGAAGGCCUUAUGGUUGUAAAGCACUUUAAGCGAGGAGGAGGCUCUUUUGGUUAAUACCCAAGAUGAGUGGACGUUACUCGCAGAAUAAGCACCGGCUAACUCUGUGCCAGCAGCCGCGGUAA